UUUUGAUAAUGGUUUAUCUAUUAAUAUUCAUAAAUCGAACUAUAUUAUUGAACAAUUAAACAAUAUUUUAAAAUGAAAAUAAAAGUUUCCGAUAAUAAUUUAAUUGAAAUUAAAAGUUAAGAAAAUAAUUUUAUGUUUGAUAAUAUUCUUUGUGAUAAUCUAGGGAUUAAGUUUGAUAAUUUUUCGAAAAUUGGAAUUUAUCCAACAAGUAAAACAUCUAAUAUUCCUUUAGAAUUACAUUGUAAUAUAGUC
Non-coding RNA from Cinara cedri, 252 nucleotides. The record is from the annotation of a GenBank genome assembly. NCBI's taxonomy places the organism in Eukaryota, Metazoa, Arthropoda, Insecta, Hemiptera, Aphididae.